CUUCUUUUGGAUUAAAUAAAUACAGAAUGUUACCUAAUCAAACUAUCUCUAUUAUCUCAAAGCAAAAGCUGAAGAUGGGCCUGAUUUCAAACUACAACCAUCUCCAGUUCUGGAUCUGCAUAUUAAUCAGGCUCCAGAUUUACCUCUAUUAACAGGCACAACUUAAUGUACUGUAGAUUCUGAACCCCACAUUUAAAAACACUUAUCAUCCAAAGCCUUAGUUCUCACUAUUUUACAAUGACCAUAUUUGGUUCAAAUUCAGUGUUCUGUUCCAUCUCUCUAAAUUACCUAAUAUAUACAUUUCCUUUAUAAACAUUAACUUCUACUGAACAAAAAACCACUACAGAAUAGCUGGGUUUGACUAUUAUCACACAUAAUAACUAAACCUCUUUAUCAUCCUCACUGUUGUAUGCUUGGGUUAAGCUAGCUAGGAAACUGUUCUUGUUUAAAGUCUCAUCUAGAGAUGAGCCAGCUUAUUACCAGUAAUAGCUGUGUACAGAGGACUGAGCCAUGCCAUGAGGGAUAGUCCCUGACAAUUCUGGCUUCAGUGGUAAAGUAGGUAGGUAGGUAGAUUAAACUGAGAUUGUUUUUGCUAUCUAUUGCAAGGUACCAGCAAGGCUAACAAAGAGACUUUCUCCAGCAGUGGUGGAGGACAGUUAAAAUGAAUUGCUGGAAUGUGGUUCUCUACAGACACAAAAUCAGGCUCUCGUAUUAACUGGAGCCACAUGAUAUUAUCUUGGUGGAAGUGAAUAACAACAGUGCUGUUGGAAAUCUGUAAGGCUAUAUGCCACCAUCUGAAAGUACUGAGCUGUAAUUCAUUUUACAGCAAGAAGCAAUUCCUCACCAAUCCACUGCUUUUCAGAAAAAGCCUACAGGUGAAAAACCAAGCCUAUGGCACAGCUGCACCCGGAUGCAGCACAGCUGUCAGCCAGGGAAGGUGAGAAAUUAUUUUCAGUCUGCAAAGGUAAAAGCAUGAUUUCUUCUCUUUUCUGUACCUCUGAGGAAGUGUAAGAAUGAUCUUACAACACCCUUGGUUCUUUCAGGCAAAUUUACAUGAUUUCAGUGAGAGCUGUAUGCAUGAACUGCAAGGACCACAUGGCCCAGCACAGCAAUUAUCUUUUUAACUUACAGAAGUCACUGCCAAGUAACUGGUAGUGAUUACACAUUUCUCCACUCCAUGCAUGCAGCUUCACUGGAAAGGAAAAGCACAGCAACUCUGCCUUAGUUUGCACAGAGACAGCCUGUUCCUGCAUUUUCUAAGCCCCAAAAGCUCUGGGGUACCAAUCCACUCUACUCUGACUUUCAAAUAGCAGCCAUGGGACAGGGAGCAGGUCCUAGCUCAUCAAAAUUUUAGAAAGCAAUUUUCAAGCUGCUGCCAGAACAAGCUGAAAUGUCUCCAUAAAAGUUUCAUCUGUGCAUAGUAGCUGAGAACAAAACCAAUCUGUUUCCCAGCAUUGUUUUGCUUUGCUGCUGUGCUCAUAUAAUGCAAACCCAUCAGUACCGCUCUACUGGCAGUUUCCAUGAAGCUGAUUUUCAAUAAAUCUGCGUAUACACUGUGCUAAAUUGUUCCUUCUCCUGCAUUGCAUUGCAGAGCAAUAUUACUCAACACAGUAUAAAAUUCUUAGUCACCGCUAUCACUGGGCUUUCUGUGGCACAGACAGUUUUCUGUGCUGCAUCCCUCAUUUUACAGAACAAACUGGAGCUUGUUUUUGUUUGAAGAGCAUUGGCCAACAUCCUGAACACUACUCAUUAGGGUCCAACAUGGAGCGUUUUGCCACCUCCCAUUUCUUGGGCUACACCAUUCGGUAUCAUUAAAUUUGUACUUGGCAGGAAACUGAGUCACCCAUUCUUUUCUUCUUUGAUACACCACAUUCAAUGGCCAUUCAAAGCAAGGUCAGAGCCUAGCAGUUCAGCCCUGUGAUAUGCUAGUUUCUCCAGAGGAAAGAGAGUGAUCAAGCUCAGGUUUAUUACGGUGUUAAAUUUAUACCCUCCACUUAAGCUAAUGAUAGACAUUUCUGCUGUCUGAUCUGACUGGUCCUCGCUGCCCAACCACUAAAGCAUUUUCUGUCAUUAUCAAUUAAAGUGAGGACUGGCAAUUAGGGGAAGAAGAAAAGAGAGCAGAAAAACCAGCCAAGAUUUCAGUGAUAUAUGGAAAACAAGAACAUCCCUGCACACUCAUCCAAAUGCCCAAAGACCAUCAGGCAGAACAGCCUGGGAAGCUGUUGUAACAUCUGGUAAAGACAGGAGGAAGGGUGGGUUGGUAAAACUGAAGAGAGGACCAAUGCAACUCACUGCUUAGGACCACUUCCUAGAAAUAAAGUUUCAGGAGGACUUUAUUAUCCCAGAAAAAACUUGUAUUGCAGAGAAGGUGGGGGGGAGAUUGCACAUUUGCUGUCAGUGAAUUGUAGCACCAGUUGCCAGCACACAACCAGAACAAGCAGGGCAUUUUAGGCACCAGGUUCUCCCAUGAGACUGGAAGGAGCGUGCCCCUUGUCAUAGGAGUCUUGGGGUACCUCACCUCCUCUUCUUCCCAUAAAGUCAGGCCUCAGUGUGUGAGACCUCUGCACCUGAUGACUUAACAUUUUGAUAGACUUCAGACACUGCAAUAAAGAUACACUCCAGAUUGUUCUUCUUACUGGCUUAAUCUGUGACUUAAUUAAGCAUGGCAGAGUUAUUAUAGCAAACUACCUGAAACCGUUCAUGCUCUCAUCGUGAUGUAUUGGGCUUGGCACAGCUACACCACCCACGCUGAAAACAUGCUAUUGAUGACAAAACCUGAAAGUCACCACAGGCCUUUCAUAAUCUAAAUUACAGAGACGGUGUCUGAGUAGUAAUCACAUGGCAAAGAUUCUCUCUCUGCAUGUUCAAAAACAGUUGGCCUGUGCAAUCAGGCAGAAAGGUCAGGAGAUGGACAAGGUUAUAUCUCCCACAAAUCUGCCAGGUUUUAGUCCUCUCAUUAACGUGGGCUGAGCAGGUUGCACUCCCGUAACAUGUGAAAUGGCUCUGCUCAUGUGACCAGAGGCCUGUGAAGAUUUCCCCUUCAAACUACACCCUCGUCUUCCUUCAUAUAGCUCCAUAGGCAUUGUGUUAUCACAUUGAUACCUACAAAUAUAGGUGGCAGUGAUCUCAGAUGAUCAUUGUGAGCCAGCAUGUGUAGAUUUACCUGUUAAGCUGAAGUGAGAUGUCCUCAACUGCUCUGAUUCUUAGGCUGUCUUGUGAGCCUGACUCCAUCACACACAGAAUUUCCCACCCCUCCACCCACUCUCUUCUUGCCUGGUUGGUUGAAAAUUAGAAGCUGUUUCUCCUCUUAACUUCCUGGUAAUUUGAAAAGAAACAAAAGCUCCUGGGGCACCAGGGAGCACUAGUGGGCAUGAGUGUGCCCACUGUCCACAAGGUCCCCCUUGCUCUUUCCGGGGUGCAGUCCAGAUGACUCUUGUGGUCAAUGGUGUAGUCACUCUGCCUGAAAUCAGACCUGGGAUGCAGUUUCCCUGUUAAUGAUUUAGUUGAGGGCAAUUCUGGGAAGAACAAACACAGCAAGAGUUACUUACAGAACUCCAAAGUUCUGCAAUCGACUAAAGAACUGGAGACAUGUUUAGUUAGUCGCUAAUAACCGAGUGAAAUGCAAGCAGGAAAUGUCAUUUUCUUCAGAUAAGGUGCUGAGGAUCAAAAGAAUUUGGACUUGUUUCCACUGACCAUACAGCAAUAAAUGUGGUAACUUCUGAAAAGGCAGAAUUGUUUAAUAUUUGUUGUAUCCCACAGGUGAGGGUUAAUGGGUCAGGUUUUCUUAGCCAAUUUAAAUGAUUCAGAAGGAUGAAAUAUUCUGUCUUCAUUUGAAAGGAAAGUCUUACAUAUUCAUGUCUAUAAAUGCUGAGAAUGCUCAGUCCAAGGGCUAAACUCCAUACCCGAUCUUUAUGGAGCCAAAAUUCAGAGUAAAGAUGCACAUUUAUUUACUGAAAAUUUGGUAUCUGAUUCUUAAAACUGGGUUGGGGGUCCUCUCUAAUAAAGCUAGUUUCUCUGGUUAAUUGACUUUUAAUUAUAAGUUAGCUUGCAGUUACAGAAUAUCCUGACUUAACAAGCUGAACAAUUUGGUAUUCUUCUCUGCUAGUGAAACUCUCUUCCUUGUCUACCUCUUUUAAUGGGAAAGAAAGGAAAAAACAAAACAAAACAAAAAAAAAAACAGUGAUGGCAUUUGUUGGGGAACUGGAGUAAGGAAAAUGUGAAACAGCAGUAAAGGAAUUUUAAUAUUUGUCACAUUGACUUAUUUCAGUAUUAUCUGUAAACUGAGUUUCUUUAUUUAGACAAAUAAAUUAGUGCUGGCUGAAAACAUCAGAACUUUGUGGAUUUAUAUGGCAAAUACUAGAUUUUUCAUCAAAACAUACAUUUUCCUUCAAUGCCUUUCAUUUGUUAGCAGUUUUGAAGUAUUUCUUAAAAUAAAAAUAAUAAAAAAAAAAAAGAAAAUCAGAAUGAUUGUUCUUCUAUUUUGCUAGAAAAAAAAAAAGUGAAUCUUUAAAUGAAAUGUAGUUAACCUUUAUUUAAUUCUCGUGUGUUUUCCUCUUAUUCACUUAAUAUUAGUUGGAUAUUUAUGAAGAAAAUUACCUUCUUCAAUACUCUAUUUAUAGCAUAUUUACAUCUUUGUUAGAAAUUCCUAAUUCAAAACUAGUUUAAGUAAAAAGUCAUCUAAUUGCUUUUUAAACCCACUAAAGCUGUAGAUUACCUUAAGUUCAUUUUAAAGCAAUCCAGGCUUUUUGCUAUAAAACAAAAACAAGACUUCUACAAACUGAAAAGUAUCUUUGUGUUUAUUUGUGUUGGAAAAAUACUAAAGACAACAUUGCUGGUAAAUCUACCUUGUUUUUAUCCCAGGAGAUGGUAUUUCUAAUGACUUGAAAAAAGGAUCUAGCAAACUUCUUUUUUUUUCACCCAGUCUACCCAUUUUCUUCCUCCACGCAGCACCCAUCUUUAAACGGGUCAGGUAUAUGCAUGCAGGAAUACUGCAAAAGACAUGGAGUGUACCUGUAAUGACAUGGGGCUAAGGGCAGGCAGCUGACCCAUAGCAGCAUCCCUGGCCAAAGCCUCCUCUUUGCAGAAGCUGGAAAUGACUCCUGCAUAGCCUCUGUUUGGGAUCGGAGACACUUCAGUCUGUACCAGCAGUAGCAGAGUGAUGACGUCUGCAUGGCUGUGGCCGGUUUCACUUUGAGUUUUCAGGUUCACACAAUACUGAAACUCAAAGUACAAAUAGUAGAGGGGAUGCCCCACAGUACUGCAAAGUGAGCACACCAGCUCCAUUUUCCAAAACCUAUGCAAAUUGAAGUUGAGUUUUGCACAGCCUUACCAGGUAAAUCAUGCUACAAAGCCAGCUAGCACAUUUUACUGUUAUGAGCUCAAGCUUCCCUCAGGGUUGCAGCAAGUGACUGGUCAUCGAACCUCAAAAACUCCACCUUGCACUCCACUGAAGCAGGACGCAGAACUAAUAGAGUGCUCAUUAAACUCUCCAGAGAGCCCUCAUCAGAGACUUAUGCUGCCCACUUGCCAUACAGAACUCACUGAAGCAGAGUAGGAUUUAGGUGACAGCUUUUGUACUGGUUCAAGCCAUGGAAUGAAUUUCACUGCAAAGCAACACAAAAAGACCACACAACUGGCUUCAUCUAAAGCUGCAUGUGAAUUGUGACCCUCUGUAGCUACUGCCAGCCUGAUUUAGAUAUCAGAGUGUUUUGUGAGGCUUAUGCAUCAUGGUCUUAUUUGAAUAUGCAGCAGUCACAAUUUUUGAAGGAAAAGAUUUCCUGAAAACACGUAGCAGAAAUGUCACUUCUGAGGAAAGUUGAAAAAUUGAAAGAUGUGGAAAGAAGUGUUUUCAAAGGACAAAUGUAAAAUUAAAUGCUAGUGCAUGCUGAGAAUGUGAAACAUAGAGGAUGCCUAAGUUGUGAUAAUGCCAUUUAAUAAGUGUUCUGAUUCAGUUGCAAAUAUUGACAUUUUCUCACAUUGGAAAAAAGUGUUCCUCGGAAAUUUUGACAAAUAGGAACCUAUUGGAAUUUAUAUUAACUUGGAUCCUCAAUUGAAAUGGAAACUUAUGGAAAUACCAUUUCACAGAGAAUCACCUAUAUAGACAUUAAUGAGCACAAGAUAGAACAGGAUUUAAUGAAUCACCAACUUGUGAUUCUAUUCCACUAAAAAUGUCUGUAUUCCUUCCUCUUCUCAUUUCAGGAAAAGUGCAAGCAAUCAUGUGAGUUUUCAAUUGCAUGGAGAAUAUGGUUUUGGCUGUCAUAGGCUUGCAGGUCCACUGUCUAUUACUGGCUACCACUGCAAAGUUAUAUUAUGGAAGCUACAUUAAAUAAUGCCAAAGCACUAAUCUGAAGUCAAUUAACAAUUGUUACUAAGGGGUAUUUUACUCUAAUCCUUAAAUAAUUCACCUUCCUUUGAUGUUAAUAAAGUGGCUUAGAGAAGUAAGACUUGAUGGAAAAAAGCCACAGAUGCCAGAAAUAACAGUUCUUAAUAACUUAAAGCAGUUAACAGCUGCAAAGCUAAGUGUAACAUUAAAAUGUAUUAGUUAAAGAGAUGUAUAUUUAUUUAAGUGUGCUUACAUUUUAUUACUAAAAUGUAUGAUGUGAUACACUGCAAGAUUUAAGUGGUAGAACUUUUUAUUACCAUUUAAAGUGUUCAGACAGAAAGCAGUGGAGAACGAGGGAUAAUUCAGUGCAUUUUUGUGGGCAGCACCCACAUGUUCACAUUUCCCAAUGUUUUAUUCUUUAUGGGAAAAAAAGCGUGCACAGGGCAACAACAUGUUUUUUUUCCCAUGUAAAAAUCAUGUGCCAAUGAUUCACUAAUUCCUAUUUUUCCUUGUGCUCAUAAAUGGGCAGAGGGAUGACUGUCAAUGAAACUAUUAAAGGAUGGAGAAUACCUCAGAGAGUCGACAUUCCAAGUGAUAUAUUUAAGAUAAGACAGAUUCGAACAGGUCACUGGUUUGCAGUUGCACAACUGUCUGGAUUUUUUGGAUAUAGUUCAUUUCAGGGUAGUCUCCUGAAAUUCUGACUUACACACUGUUAGAAGCAAAACAGUUUGAUGAGCUGACGUUACAGUCACUCCCAAAUGUUAAAAAAAAAAACAUGAGUCAGGGAAAUCUAGGGAAUGACUUUAAGAAAGACUUACAUUCUUUGAUUUGUUUUCUGAUUUCUGAGCCAUUAGAGUGCACUCCCUCCACACUUUCUGGCUUUGCUCUGUGCCAAUGCAGACAAGAAAUUAAAAUUAAUGAUCAAAAAUACAAACCAAAAGUCCCAUGGAACUAGUCACCCUUGGGAUCUGGAUUCACAACAAACUGGCAGUGUAUCCUGAAAAAUCCAUUCCCUCCAUCUGUAUUUUUAUGUAUUUUCUUCAUUUUCCUUCAAACUUAUGAGUGAUCAGGUUUUAUUUGUACAUGUCUUCACAGAAAAUCAAUGGUAAACUUAUACCCUGGACUAUCAUCAGUGGGAAUUAGAGAAAGUCAUAAUCUCGGAGAGAAGAAAAGCUGCUAGGCAUUUUAAGAGAUCAUCAAGGCCAUUCCCUCCAGUAAAACACCAACAACAUCAGAGCUGUGACUUCUGUAUUCAGACAAUAUUUAUUAUCAAAAACAUUUGUUUUUUCUAAUUUCAGUACCAUUGUGGUAAAAAUGUAAAGAUGGAAAAAAGUGAAUAAACUUAAU
This is a non-coding RNA of Anas platyrhynchos (mallard), 7669 nucleotides long. Lineage: Eukaryota; Metazoa; Chordata; Aves; Anseriformes; Anatidae. The record is from RefSeq and is a predicted model, not a curated record.